UAGGGAAUCUUCCGCAAUGGACGAAAGUCUGACGGAGCAACGCCGCGUGAGUGAUGAAGGUUUUCGGAUCGUAAAACUCUGUUGUUAGGGAAGAACAAGUAUGAGAGUAACUGCUCGUACCUUGACGGUACCUAACCAGAAAGCCACGGCUAACUACGUGCCAGCAGCCGCGGUAAUACGUAGGUGGCAAGCGUUGUCCGGAAUUAUUGGGCGUAAAGCGCGCGCAGGCGGUCCUUUAAGUCUGAUGUGAAAGCCCACGGCUCAACCGUGGAGGGUCAUUGGAAACUGGGGGACUUGAGUGCAGGAGAGAAGAGUGGAAUUCCACGUGUAGCGGUGAAAUGCGUAGAGAUGUGGAGGAACACCAGUGGCGAAGGCGACUCUUUGGCCUGUAACUGACGCUGAGGCGCGAAAGCGUGGGGAGCAAACA
This 427-nucleotide ribosomal RNA is filed under the name uncultured Bacillus sp. RNAcentral describes it as "bacterial SSU rRNA". It matches the Rfam family "Bacterial small subunit ribosomal RNA", at positions 355 to 774 of the family's 1533-position model. Lineage: Bacteria; Bacillati; Bacillota; Bacilli; Caryophanales; Bacillaceae. The record is from RNAcentral. RNAcentral also lists the same sequence under 1 other name.